CCUACGGGAGGCAGCAGUAGGGAAUAUUGCUCAAUGGGGGAAACCCUGAAGCAGCAACGCCGCGUGGAGGAUGAAGGUUUUCGGAUUGUAAACUCCUUUUGUUAGAGAAGAUAAUGACGGUAUCUAACGAAUAAGCACCGGCUAACUCCGUGCCAGCAGCCGCGGUAAUACGGAGGGUGCAAGCGUUACUCGGAAUCACUGGGCGUAAAGAGCGCGUAGGCGGGAUAGCAAGUCAGAUGUGAAAUCCUAGGGCUUAACCAUAGAACUGCAUUUGAAACUGUUAUUCUAGAGUAUGGGAGAGGUAGGUGGAAUUCUUGGUGUAGGGGUAAAAUCCGUAGAGAUCAAGAGGAAUACUCACUGCGAAGGCGACCUGCUAGAACAUAACUGACGCUGAUGCGCGAAAGCGUGGGGAGCAAACAGGAUUAGAUACCCUUGUAGUC
RNAcentral lists this ribosomal RNA (440 nucleotides) under uncultured bacterium. RNAcentral's name for it is "partial 16S ribosomal RNA". It matches the Rfam family "Bacterial small subunit ribosomal RNA", at positions 338 to 795 of the family's 1533-position model. The record is from RNAcentral.